AUUCGUUACUUUAAUAAAAUAUACUGUAUUUUUUUACAUCGAAGAUUGAUUAAUAAAAGGUUUAUACUGCUUGUGGGACAAUAAAACUGAGCUGAUCAUGUACAAUCUAUGUGGUACACUGCAUGCUAUACAUUCAUAUAGAUUAUAGGAGAAACAAGUGUGAAACUUUUGAAAUGUGAAUGAUUUUUUUGGCCGCUCUGACUUCCCUUUCCAAAAUUUAAGGUAGUAAAAUCCAAUUACAUACUGUGGGUUUGCUACACUAAAGUUCAAAACCCAUGCAAUGGAAAACAAAAAUAAUGUCUGACGGGUUUAUAAGUACCAGUUAAAACAUGAACAGCCGAUCUUUAUCUGAUAUAAAAUAAACAUUGUCUAAGCGGAGAAAAUCAAAGCUGAAGUUUAUGUAAAUCAGGACAAAUCUUUAUCCGAUUUACAAACAUUGAUUAGGUAGCUAGCUCAAUACAGUUUUUAAAAAAUGGAAAAUUCACGAUUUAGAUGCGUAUUUUUGGACAAUUGUUACUUGUUGAUAAACAAAAAGUACUUUACUUAUAUAAAACAACAUCUAUAGAGUUUGAAUUUUUGCACAAAAGUUACGUAACUGCCGUUGCUAUGGCAACGAUGACGUUUCAAGAUGGCGGAUAUUUUGGCUUUAAAGUAAUUUAACUCGUAAACGACAUUGGUGACCUCCAAAUUUUAUUUUAAAAAAAUCAUUUCUCUUAGUAUAAUCAAUUAUUUUGACAAUUAAAAAAAAUUCUGUGGAGCCAAAAAAAAUUAUUAUGAAUAAUCACAAUCAAUCAAUCAAUCAAAAACUUUAUUAUUGUGUCAAAUAAAUUCUAGUUU
Non-coding RNA from Paramuricea clavata, 837 nucleotides. The record is from the annotation of a GenBank genome assembly. Lineage: Eukaryota; Metazoa; Cnidaria; Anthozoa; Malacalcyonacea; Plexauridae.